AACGAGCGCUGGCGGCAUGCCUUACACAUGCAAGUCGAACGGCAGCACGGGAGCAAUCCUGGUGGCGAGUGGCGAACGGGUGAGUAAUAUAUCGGAACGUGCCCAGUCGUGGGGAUAACGUAGCGAAAGCUACGCUAAUACCGCAUACGAUCUACGGAUGAAAGCGGGGGAUCGCAAGACCUCGCGCGAUUGGAGCGGCCGAUAUCAGAUUAGGUAGUUGGUGAGGUAAAGGCUCACCAAGCCGACGAUCUGUAGCUGGUCUGAGAGGACGACCAGCCACACUGGGACUGAGACACGGCCCAGACUCCUACGGGAGGCAGCAGUGGGAAUUUUGGACAAUGGGCGCAAGCCUGAUCCAGCAAUGCCGCGUGCAGGAUGAAGGCCUUCGG
RNAcentral lists this ribosomal RNA (389 nucleotides) under uncultured bacterium. Its description in RNAcentral is "bacterial SSU rRNA". It matches the Rfam family "Bacterial small subunit ribosomal RNA", at positions 29 to 421 of the family's 1533-position model. The record is from RNAcentral.